GAUGAACGCUAGCUGCAGGCUUAACACAUGCAAGUCGAGCGGUAUUUAUCUUCGUCUAGAGAUACCGGCGCACGGGUGCGUAACGCGUCUGCACUCUACCUUUUACAUAGGGAUAGCCCAGAGAAAUUUUGCUUAAUACCUCAUAGUCUAUAGACUCGGCAUCGAGAUUAUAUUAAAGUCACAACGGUACAAGAUGAGCCUGCGUCCCAUUAGCUAGUUGGUAAGGUAACGGCUUACCAAGGCUACGAUGGGGAGGGGUCCUGAGAGGGAGAUCCUCCACACUGGUACUAAGACAGGGACCAGACGAGUACGGGAGGGAGCAGUGAGGAAUAGUGGACAAUGGGCGCAAGCCUGAUCCAGGCAGGCCGCGUGCAGGAUGACGGUGCUAUGGAUUGUAAACUGCUGUUAUACGAGAAGAAACACUGCUAAGUGUAGAAGCUUGACGGUAUCGUAAGAAGAAGGACAGGCUAACUCCGUG
Molecule: ribosomal RNA, 478 nt
Filed under: uncultured bacterium
Lineage: Bacteria
Description: partial 16S ribosomal RNA
Rfam family: Bacterial small subunit ribosomal RNA
Source: RNAcentral